CUGCCCUCAAGCACGGCUUGUGUGUUGGGCCCCCGUCCCCGGUUUCCCCCGGGGACGGGCCCGAAAGGCAGCGGCGGCACCGCGUCCGGUCCUCGAGCGUAUGGGGCUUUGUCACCCGCUCUGUAGGCCCGGCCGGCGCCAGCCGACACCCAACUUUAUUUCUAA
This 165-nucleotide unclassified non-coding RNA is filed under the name uncultured Aspergillus. RNAcentral's name for it is "sequence contains ITS2". Lineage: Eukaryota; Fungi; Ascomycota; Eurotiomycetes; Eurotiales; Aspergillaceae. The record is from RNAcentral.